UAGCUAUUCCGUUAUCGAUGA
Molecule: non-coding RNA, 21 nt
Organism: Caenorhabditis elegans
Lineage: Eukaryota; Metazoa; Nematoda; Chromadorea; Rhabditida; Rhabditidae
Source: Ensembl